This 425-nucleotide ribosomal RNA is filed under the name uncultured bacterium. RNAcentral's name for it is "bacterial SSU rRNA". It matches the Rfam family "Bacterial small subunit ribosomal RNA", at positions 354 to 796 of the family's 1533-position model. The record is from RNAcentral.
GUGGGGAAUAUUGGACAAUGGGCGCAAGCCUGAUCCAGCAAUGCCGCGUGGGUGAAGAAGGUCUUCGGAUCGUAAAGCCCUUUCGACAGGGACGAUGAUGACGGUACCUGUAGAAGAAGCCCCGGCUAACUUCGUGCCAGCAGCCGCGGUAAUACGAAGGGGGCUAGCGUUACUCGGAAUUACUGGGCGUAAAGGGCGCGUAGGCGGCUCUGUUAGUCAGGCGUGAAAUUCCUGGGCUUAACCUGGGGACUGCGCUUGAUACUGCAGGGCUUGAGGCCGAGAGAGGGUGGUGGAAUUCCCAGUGUAGAGGUGAAAUUCGUAGAUAUUGGGAAGAACACCGGUGGUGAAGGCGACCACCUGGCUCGGUUCUGACGCUGAGGCGCGACAGCGUGGGGAGCAAACAGGAUUAGAUACCCCAGUAGUCC